AGUGAACGCUGGCGGUAGGCCUAACACAUGCAAGUCGAACGGCAGCACAGUAAGAGCUUGCUCUUACGGGUGGCGAGUGGCGGACGGGUGAGGAAUACAUCGGAAUCUACUUUUUCGUGGGGGAUAACGUAGGGAAACUUACGCUAAUACCGCAUACGACCUACGGGUGAAAGCGGGGGAUCUUCGGACCUUGCGCGAUCGAAUGAGCCGAUGUCGGAUUAGCUAGUUGGCGGGGUAAAGGCCCACCAAGGCGACGAUCCGUAGCUGGUCUGAGAGGAUGAUCAGCCACACUGGAACUGAGACACGGUCCAGACUCCUACGGGAGGCAGCAGUGGGGAAUAUUGGACAAUGGGCGCAAGCCUGAUCCAGCCAUACCGCGUGGGUGAAGAAGGCCUUCGGGUUGUAAAGCCCUUUUGUUGGGAAAGAAAAGCAGCAGGUUAAUACCCCGCUGUUCUGACGGUACCCAAAGAAUAAGCACCGGCGAACUUCGU
RNAcentral lists this ribosomal RNA (491 nucleotides) under uncultured bacterium. RNAcentral describes it as "partial 16S ribosomal RNA". It matches the Rfam family "Bacterial small subunit ribosomal RNA", at positions 29 to 506 of the family's 1533-position model. The record is from RNAcentral.